RNAcentral lists this ribosomal RNA (162 nucleotides) under uncultured bacterium. Its description in RNAcentral is "partial 16S ribosomal RNA". It matches the Rfam family "Bacterial small subunit ribosomal RNA", at positions 355 to 509 of the family's 1533-position model. The record is from RNAcentral.
UAGGGAAUCUUCCACAAUGGGCGCAAGCCUGAUGGAGCAACACCGCGUGAGUGAAGAAGGGUUUCGGCUCGUAAAGCUCCGUUGUUGGAGAAGAACGUGCGUGAGAGUAACUGUUCACGCAGUGACGGUAUCCAACCAGAAAGUCACGGCUAACUACGUGCC